CGGACGGGUGAGUAACGCGUGGGGAACCUGCCCUGUACCGGGGGAUAGCAGCCGGAAACGGCUGAUAAUACCGCAUAAGCGCACGAAUGUCGCAUGACAUGGUGUGAAAAACUCCGGUGGUAUAGGAUGGACCCGCGUCUGAUUAGCCAGUUGGUGGGGUAAAAGCCUACCAAAGCGAAGAUCAGUAGCCGAGUUGAGAGACUGACCGGCCACAUUGGGACUGAGACACGGCCCAGACUCCUACGGGAGGCAGCAGGU
This 258-nucleotide ribosomal RNA is filed under the name uncultured bacterium. Its description in RNAcentral is "partial 16S ribosomal RNA". It matches the Rfam family "Bacterial small subunit ribosomal RNA", at positions 99 to 354 of the family's 1533-position model. The record is from RNAcentral.